RNAcentral lists this ribosomal RNA (465 nucleotides) under uncultured bacterium. RNAcentral describes it as "bacterial SSU rRNA". It matches the Rfam family "Bacterial small subunit ribosomal RNA", at positions 338 to 795 of the family's 1533-position model. The record is from RNAcentral.
CCUACGGGCUGCAGCAGUGGGGAAUAUUGCACAAUGGGCGCAAGCCUGAUGCAGCCAUGCCGCGUGUAUGAAGAAGGCCUUCGGGUUGUAAAGUACUUUCAGUCGGGAGGAAGGUGGUGAGCUGAAUACGCUCAUCAAUUGACGUUACCGACAGAAGAAGCGCCGGCUAACUCCGUGCCAGCAGCCGCGGUAAUACGGAGGGUGCAAGCGCUAAUCGGAAUUACUGGGCGUAAAGCGCACGCAGGCGGUUGAUUGAGUCAGAUGUGAAAUCCCCGGGCUGAACCCGGGAAUUGCAUCUGAUACUGGUCAGCUAGAGUCUUGUAGAGGGGGGUAGAAUUCCAGGUGUAGCGGUGAAAUGCGUAGAGUUCUGGAGGAAUACUGGUGGCGAAGGCGGCCCCCUGGACAAAGACUGACGCUCAGGUGCGAAAGCGUGGGGAGCAAACAGGAUUAGAUACCCCGGUAGUC